RNAcentral lists this ribosomal RNA (497 nucleotides) under uncultured bacterium. Its description in RNAcentral is "partial 16S ribosomal RNA". It matches the Rfam family "Bacterial small subunit ribosomal RNA", at positions 28 to 507 of the family's 1533-position model. The record is from RNAcentral.
GACGAACGCUGGCGGCGUGCCUAAUACAUGCAAGUAGAACGCUGAAGAGAGGAGCUUGCUCUUCUUGGAUGAGUUGCGAACGGGUGAGUAACGCGUAGGUAACCUGCCUUGUAGCGGGGGAUAACUAUUGGAAACGAUAGCUAAUACCGCAUAACAAUGGAUGACACAUGUCAUUUAUUUGAAAGGGGCAAUUGCUCCACUACAAGAUGGACCUGCGUUGUAUUAGCUAGUAGGUGAGGUAAUGGCUCACCUAGGCGACGAUACAUAGCCGACCUGAGAGGGUGAUCGGCCACACUGGGACUGGGACACGGCCCAGACUCCUACGGGAGGCAGCAGUAGGGAAUCUUCGGCAAUGGGGGCAACCCUGACCGAGCAACGCCGCGUGAGUGAAGAAGGUUUUCGGAUCGUAAAGCUCUGUUGUAAGUCAAGAACGGGUGUGAGAGUGGAAAGUUCACACUGUGACGGUAGCUUACCAGAAAGGGACGGCUAACUACGUG